RNAcentral lists this long non-coding RNA (2119 nucleotides) under Homo sapiens (human). RNAcentral's name for it is "HSALNT0106499". The record is from RNAcentral. Lineage: Eukaryota; Metazoa; Chordata; Mammalia; Primates; Hominidae.
GGAGUUGGCAGCCAGUGGUCCUGGGGACCGCGAGAAACACUCUGUCUUCCUGCUUUGAGGACAGCUGAAGUCUUGCCACUUCUUCUGGAUGCUCUGACCAUCAGUAAGCCACCUCAGUCUCACCCUCCGCAGAAUGCAGGCCCACUCCGUUGCUGAAGGGCCUCCUCCUUGGGCCAGGGCGCCUGCUUCUGCCAGUGGCAUCAUCACCCCACUCCUCAGCCGCCAGUCAUCAGAGACACGGUCUGACUUUGUUACCCCGGCUGGAGUGCAGUGGUGCAAUCAUGGCUCACUGCAGCCUUAACCUCCUGGGCUCAAGUGAUCCUCUCGCCAAGGCUAGGAUAAGUAGCUAGGACUACAGAUGCGCCCCAUCACGCCCAGCUAAUUUUACAACUUCUGUAGAGAUGGAGUGUUGCUGGGUUGCCCAGGCUGGUCUUGAAUUCCUGGGCUCAAGCGAUCCUCCUGUGUCCGGAAUUGGUGGGUUCUUGGUCUCACUGACUUCAAGAAUGAAGCCGCGGACCCUCGCGAGUCUGUAUCCACCAGCUACUCUUCCAGAUUCAUGAGGCAAGGCCUGCCUGCUCACCUGGCUGGCCCCAAGCACCUCUUCAACCUGUUGCCACCGUCCUGCCUUGCUGCCCUUCUCAGCUCAUCCAGCAGGGUCUCCAAGUCGUGGAAACAGAAGCACAUAUACACACAUGCUCAUAUGUACAUGCCCACAGUCACAUAAGCACACCGAGAAACACCAUCGCAGACAUGUUCUCACAAGCACAUGUGCAUAACACUCACUACCCCUCACGCGUAUACACAUUAAUACACACACUCAUGCACACUCAGUCUUACACACACAGACACACAGCCAUAAUCACUGUUGUUGGUUGAAUUGUGCCCCCCCAUCCCCACCAAAAAGAUAAGUUGGAGUCCUAACCCCCAGUACCUGGGGAUGUGACCGUAGUUGGAAAUAGGGUGUUUGUAGAUGUAAUCAAAUUAAGAUGAGAUCUUACUGGAUUAGAGUGGGCCUUAAAUCCAGUGACUGGUGUCCUUAUAAGGAGAAAAAGAUUUGAAAACAGAGACAUGGAGACACAGAGCAGAAGGCCAUGUGAUGAUGGAGUCAGAGAUUGGAGUGAUGCAGCUAUGAGCCGAGAAAUACCAAGGUGCUGGCAGCCCCCAGAAGCAAGGAGAGAGGCAAGGAACAAUCUCCAUCAGAGCCUCUGGAAGAAACAGACUCUGCCAACACCUUGAUUUCAGACUUUUGGCCUCCUUCACUGUGCGAGAAUACGUUUCUGUUGUUUUAAACUACUGAGUCACCAAGUCUGUGGUACUGUGUUAUGGCAGCCCCGGCAACAAAUCCAAUCACACACACACACACACACACACACACACACACACACACACACACACACACAGCUGGCUCCAGGCUCAGUGAUGAGCUCAGAGGAGUUCCCCUUGGGAGCUGCUCUUUCUCUGUCUUCCUUCCUUAGUGAUUGGUCCAGUGGAUCCACAAAAGCUCAUGGCCCAGAGCAGGAGCCCAGUCAUUUUUAAUUCCUCUUCCCUGGAGUUCUUAACCAUGCGUUGCCCUCAAAAUCUGCUCUCAAGAUUUGGGUUGCCAUAUUUAGGAGCACCAGAAAACAUACAGGAAUGCUGUGUCUGCUUGCAUCAUAUUAAUUAAAAACUGGAAAUAACCUAAAUGUCCCAGAAUAGGUACAUAAACUGUGGCAUAUCCACUUAAUGGAAUACUACUCAGCAAUACAAAAGGAAAACCUAGUGUUACUUGAGCAACAUGGAUGAACUUCACAGACAUAAUAUUGCACAGCACGAGGCAGACACAAAAGUGUGCAUAUGCUAUGAUUCCAUUUACAUGAGAUUCAAGAACAGGCAAAGCAGAUCUAUGGGGAUAGAAGUCAGAAUAGUGGUUACCUCUGGAAGGUGGAAUUGACUGGGAGGGGCUUCAGGGAACCUCCUGGGGUGCUGAAAACAUUCUGUGCUUGCACCGGGUGGUGGUUAUGUGGGCAUUACAUAAAAUUCACCAAGCUGCACCCUUAAUGAUUUGUACAAUUUGAUGCACAAAUCUAACAUCUCAAGAAGAAUAAAUUUUACAAAGUACCUAAGAAGCAAAUGACCAGAA